This 324-nucleotide ribosomal RNA is filed under the name uncultured eukaryote. Its description in RNAcentral is "partial 18S ribosomal RNA". It matches the Rfam family "Eukaryotic small subunit ribosomal RNA", at positions 1470 to 1796 of the family's 1831-position model. The record is from RNAcentral.
CCCUUAGAUGCUCUGGGCCGCACGCGCGCUACACUGGUCGAUGCAACGAGUUUCUUUCCUUGGCCGACAGGCCUGGGCAAUCUUUGAACAUCGAUCGUGAUCGGGAUAGAUUCUUGUAAUUUUUGAUCUUAAACGAGGAAUUCCUAGUAAACGCAAGUCAUCAGCUUGCAUUGAUUACGUCCCUGCCCUUUGUACGCACCGCCCGUCGCACCUACCGAUUGAAUGGUCCGGUGAAAUCUCCGGACUGGCGUGAGUCGGAGCAAUCUGACAAACGCCGGAAAGUUGAUUAAACCUUACCAUUUAGAGGAAGGUGAANUCGUAACA